AGAGCCGAUCGUACUCACGGUGCUGCUGUGCUCCACACUCUUAAACUCCGCUUGCCCUACAGAGUCCUUCUGGAACUGCUGAAGGGCAUUUCGCUUUUUGCCCACAAAAGACGCAAGCACCAUAAGCCAGGCAGAGCUCUUCUGUUGAGGUGGACACCCGCAGCGAAAGCACCACAUCAUCUGAGGGCGCCUCCUGUACCCUGCUUAUCCACAGCCCCGUCGAGCUCAAGAGAGGCUGGAGGAGGCAGAAGAGACACCUCUUCUUGUUCAACGAUUUGCUGCUCAUGUCCAAUACCAAGUACAAAAAAAAUUUUAAGAAAAAAAAUAAAAUACCACUGAACACCGUGUGGACUGCUAACUGUAUGGACAAAGUGGGGGAUGCCAACAUCCGUGCCGGGAGGUCCUUCGUCGUGGGCUGGCCCACGGUGAACUUUGUGGCCACCUUCAGGUAAGACCGACAGAUUGGUCUUGUAUUUACAUGGGUUAAAAAGGAGAACAUUUUAAUCUGAUUGUACAUCAAGCCGGUGACUCACUUUCUGACCUCCUGUAAUGACACUUGUUUGCCUUAUACUUUCCUCAAAAAGGUAUGUACAAAUAUGAGCAAGUAGAUAACCUAGAGUGGGAACUAUCGAGUAAUUUCCUUUGG
Molecule: RNA transcript, 646 nt
Organism: Ailuropoda melanoleuca (giant panda)
Lineage: Eukaryota; Metazoa; Chordata; Mammalia; Carnivora; Ursidae
Gene name: rho GTPase-activating protein 20
Exons: 3
Source: RefSeq, a predicted model, not a curated record